Molecule: ribosomal RNA, 255 nt
Filed under: uncultured bacterium
Lineage: Bacteria
Description: partial 16S ribosomal RNA
Rfam family: Bacterial small subunit ribosomal RNA
Source: RNAcentral
GACGAACCGUGCAAACGUUGUUCGGAAUCACUGGGCUUAAAGGGCGCGUAGGCGGUCGACCAAAGUCCGGGGUGAAAUCUUUCGGCUUAACCGGAAAAGUGCCUUGGAUACUGGUCGGCUGGAGGGAGGUAGGGGCAGGUGGAACUUCCAGUGGAGCGGUGAAAUGCGUUGAUAUUGGAAGGAACGCCGGUGGCGAAAGCGACCUGCUGGACCUCUUCUGACGCUGAGGCGCGAAAGCUAGGGGAGCAAACGGGG